Molecule: ribosomal RNA, 918 nt
Filed under: Neohelicascus gallicus
Lineage: Eukaryota; Fungi; Ascomycota; Dothideomycetes; Pleosporales; Morosphaeriaceae
Description: partial large subunit ribosomal RNA
Rfam family: Eukaryotic large subunit ribosomal RNA
Source: RNAcentral
GCAUAUCAAUAAGCGGAGGAAAAGAAACCAACAGGGAUUGCCCUAGUAACGGCGAGUGAAGCGGCAAUAGCUCAAAUUUGAAAUCUGGCUCUGCUCUAGGGUCCGAGUUGUAAUUUGUAGAGGGUGCUUUGGCACUGAUGGCGGUCUAAGUUCCUUGGAACAGGACAUCACAGAGGGUGAGAAUCCCGUAUGUGGUCGCUAAUCUUUGCCGUGUAAAGCCCCUUCAACGAGUCGAGUUGUUUGGGAAUGCAGCUCUAAAUGGGAGGUAAAUUUCUUCUAAAGCUAAAUAUUGGCCAGAGACCGAUAGCGCACAAGUAGAGUGAUCGAAAGAUGAAAAGCACUUUGGAAAGAGAGUCAAAAAGCACGUGAAAUUGUUGAAAGGGAAGCGCUUGCCGCCAGACUUGCCUGCAGUUGCUCACCUAGGCGUUCAGCCUGGGGCACUCUUCUGCAGGCAGGCCAGCAUCAGUUUGGGCAGCCGGAUAAAGGUCUCUGACACGUUCCUUCUACCUUUGUGUAGAUGGUCAUAUAGGGGAGACGUCAUGCGGUUAGCCCGGACUGAGGUCCGCGCAUUGCUAGGAUGCUGGCGUAAUGGCUGCAAGCGGCCCGUCUUGAAACACGGACCAAGGAGUCUAACAUCUAUGCGAGUGUUUGGGUGUCAAGCCCGAGCGCGCAAUAAACGUGAACGGAGGUGGGAACCCUCUUUUGGGGGUGCACCAUCGACCGAUCCUGAUGUCUUCGGAUGGAUUUGAGUAAGAGCAUAGCUGUUGGGACCCGAAAGAUGGUGAACUAUGCUUGAAUAGGGUGAAGCCAGAGGAAACUCUGGUGGAGGCUCGCAGCGGUUCUGACGUGCAAAUCGAUCGUCAAAUUUGGGCAUAGGGGCGAAAGACUAAUCGAACUAUCUAGUAGCUGGUUCCUGCC